AUAUAUGACGUUAGCUACGUUGUGACGCUAGCAAUUUAAAUGACCGUUUUGCGUUUUAAGCUACGUUUUCUCAGAGUUUUUUCAACUGAAUAACUUUCUAAUGCAUUCUUUGCAACCAUAAUAAAAAAAUCGGCGCCAUUUACAUCAAUACAUGCAAGUUACAGAGGAUGACUUCUGCUAACGUCAGUUUUUGACGGCUUUUAAUUUGCGAAUGUCACACAUUUGACGGACUUUUUUAUUUUCUAUAAAGUUGAACAGAAAAUAUUUAAUAAAUUUACCUGUAACUAUUGAACAGUUGAAUUGAAAUCACUUAUAAUCGAUAUGCAUUAGAAUUUGAGCAGUGUUUAUUCUCAUGGUGUCAACACUGGCUUUCCCCAGAGAUUCCAUUUCAACAAUCUGCAGUUGAUGUUUCUGACUCGCCUGAGAGGAUAUUUCCAGACAUUCUGUGUGAACUAACCAAACGUGAUGAAACUGGUCCGACUGAGAGCUUUCCAGUAGACCAGUUGCAAGCACAGGACUUGUCUCCACUACUUCCUGGUAGUCCAUUUUCAGUGUCCAGUGUUGACCCACAGAUCCAGAAUCAAAGGUUGAUCAUUGGCCGUAUGUUCGUUUUAUGGACUUCAAAAAGUCUGUAAAACUUUGGGUGGAGGGGGCAAUACUCCACACACUUCUCCCCUCAGAUGUUUUGAGGCUGAUUGAUGUCCCAUCCGUGGAGAUGAGAGGGUCUCGUGUAUACUAUCGAUUUACCAAAGAGACAGAGAAGACCUUUAGAGGAAAUGAAAUGAAUGAAUGAAAUUAUACUUUAAAUCACCUCAUCAUUAAAUAUCUUUGACACCA
Saccostrea cuccullata (small rock oyster) is the source of this 837-nucleotide long non-coding RNA. RefSeq lists it as uncharacterized. The transcript has 6 exons. Lineage: Eukaryota; Metazoa; Mollusca; Bivalvia; Ostreida; Ostreidae. The record is from RefSeq and is a predicted model, not a curated record.